RNAcentral lists this transfer RNA (83 nucleotides) under Chloroflexota bacterium. RNAcentral's name for it is "Chloroflexi bacterium (groundwater metagenome) tRNA-Leu". It matches the Rfam family "tRNA". From Rfam's summary of the family: Transfer RNA (tRNA) molecules are approximately 80 nucleotides in length. Lineage: Bacteria; Bacillati; Chloroflexota. The record is from RNAcentral. RNAcentral also lists the same sequence under 1 other name.
GCCCUCGUGGCGGAAUUGGCAUACGCGGCAGGUUGAGGGCCUGUGUCCAAUUGGACGUGGAGGUUCAAGUCCUCUCGAGGGCA